Long non-coding RNA from Labeo rohita (rohu), 590 nucleotides. RefSeq lists it as uncharacterized. Lineage: Eukaryota; Metazoa; Chordata; Actinopteri; Cypriniformes; Cyprinidae. The transcript has 3 exons. The record is from RefSeq and is a predicted model, not a curated record.
AAGUCCUCAUUCCUUCAUUCUCGUCAGCUGACCAUAAAGAAACGGAGCAAGGCAAAAUCAAUAAGCAUCAGACAGCAAAAGCUUCAGUAUAGAUGCUAAGGCAAAUGGAUUGUCCAAGAAGCCUGGAAAAACAGUCCAGUGAUGAGGAAGAAAAUAAGGAUAAGACAGACUUGUGCACUUCCAUAAGUCCUGUAUCUGCACCAGUAUUAAAGGCCAUCUCAGUUAGAUGGAGGACCACCAGCCAUACCUACUGGUAUUGAGAAGGAUCAAGGGCAUGAUCACCUUAUUCUGUGUGGUUGGACAAGCACCUCAUCCCUUCUGACAGAACCACCACCCUGAGUCCUAUCGAACUCAAAGUCCACUUUGUGCUCAACCUGUUGUAUCAGUAGGUCCUUGUCAAUGUCUUUAUCUUCCUGCUACACUCUACAACAUUGAUGUUGGUCAUACCAGUGGGUUACCAGUAAAGUUUCAAACUGACACAGUGUGUUGGCUGUUAUUGAAUGCCCACAUUAUGUAUUUUUAGUUGAACUGAAUGCAGAUUACAUUUAAUGACAAAUCAGGGUUUGUAUGAACACUAUAUUAGUGUGGAA